GGGGGUGUUUUGGUUUUGACAGCGCUGAUGCUGGACGGUAAGCAUGUCGGGCCUCGGAACCUGUCCCGUAAAACGCAGAUUCCAAAAAAUCAGUUGCCAACAACAACUAUGCACUCGCUGCCUAAUUCGGCCAAGUCCAAUUAGCUCCGCCUCUUAAGGGCCCCUCAAGGGGUAUCAUUCAUUUGAGGCUGCUCCGGCCUACGCCUUUAAAGCCGGCUAAGACCUAAAGGCUAAGGGACGCUUCGCCCGCCUUCCGGCAGGGUUUCCUCGAAAACCAAAGGCAGGAUAAGCAUGUAGAAAGCCGCCUGGUGCGACGUUUGGACAGCGGUUCGAGUCCGCUCACCUCCAC
RNAcentral lists this transfer-messenger RNA (349 nucleotides) under bovine gut metagenome. It matches the Rfam family "transfer-messenger RNA". From Rfam's summary of the family: Bacterial tmRNA, also known as 10Sa RNA or SsrA, is named for its dual tRNA and mRNA-like properties. The record is from RNAcentral.